Molecule: long non-coding RNA, 2034 nt
Filed under: Nothobranchius furzeri (turquoise killifish)
Lineage: Eukaryota; Metazoa; Chordata; Actinopteri; Cyprinodontiformes; Nothobranchiidae
Description: lncRNA (ENSNFUG00015019136.1)
Source: RNAcentral
AUGCAUAAAUCAAUUAUUAGGAAAGAUGCUUACCUGAAGCGAACCUUAUUGUCGUCUGGGUUCGGGUGUCCUCUCUGCCCCAAUUUCAAGACAGAAAGUGAUGAAGUGAUCCAGAGGCACUUGAGCAACCACAGUGCAAAUGCUGUUAUUUUCCAGGACAAAUUCUGCAUCUGCCGGUGCAAAUUGUUCUGUCAUUUUGAAGGCCACUUCCAUUGUCCUUUUUGUGGUGGGACAGUAACUAAAAAGAAAGAUAUGACAUUCCAUCUUACCACUUGUCCAAACAAAAGUAACGUGAUCCAACCCACACUGGAGAAUUCUUCUGCAGACCACUCCUACCGGCAAGCAGCAUCACCAAAGACCCUGACACCUGCCACGGAUUUUGAUCAGACAACUGCUACCACCUCAGAAAAACCCACAAUUCAAGAGAGAGAAGUAAUUCUGCCACUGACCAAGGCUGAAAGUGAUGAAGUGAUCCAGAAACUCUUGAGAAACCACAAUGCAAAUGCAGUUCAUUUCCAGGACUUGUCUAGUAGAGUUGGAGGCCACUUCCAUCCUUCUUUUUGUGACAGUACAAUAACUACCAAGGACUUGAUGUUCCAUCUUACCACGUGUCCAGAUAAAAGUAAUGUGAUCCAACCCACACUGGUGGAAUCUUACAAAUUCUGCGUCUGCAGGUGCAACUCAUCUGCAGACCACUUCCAUUGUCCUUUUUGUGACGACACAAUCAUUCGUAAGGAAGAUAUGAUAUUACAUCUGAAUGUGUGUCCAAAUAAAAAUAAGUCAACCCAAUCCACAUUGGUGGAAUCUGCAGACCACUCUUAUGCAAAAGCAGCUUUACCCAAGACCCCCACACCUGUCACAGAUUUUGAUCAGACAACUCCUGCUACUACCUCAGACCAACUCAUGAUUCAGGAGGAGGAAGUGACUGUGCCACUGACCAACGUGCAUGAAUCAGUUAUUAGGAAUGAUACGGACCUGAAGCAAAGCCUGCUAACAUCUGGGUUUGAGUGUCCUCUCUGCCCCGAUUUCAAGACUCAAAGUGAUCGAGUGAUCCAGACGCAUUUGAGCAACCACAUUGCAAAUGGAGUGCAUUUCCAGGAAAACGUAGUCUGCAGGUGCAAUUUGCCUUGUAGAGCUGGAGGCCACUUUCAUUGUCUUUUUUGUGACAAGACACUAAUUAACAAGGACAGUAUGGCAUUACAUCUGAUCAGAUGUCAAAACAAAAGUACAGUGGUCCAAUUCCCACUGGUGGAAGCUUCACCAGAGCCUUUCACGCAGCCUUUAAUAGAUCCUCUGGAACCAUCAGGGAGUGAAGACCACUCGGUGUCCUCACAAACUGCAGAUCAUGCCUACACACAAACUCCCACACUCAUCACAGCUUUAAAUCAGACAACUCCUGCUACCACCUCAGACGCACUCAUGAUUCAAGAGGAGGAAAUAACUCUACCAUUGUCCAAGGCUGAAAGUGAUGAAGUGAUCCAGAAGGUCUUGAGAAACCACAAUGCAAAUGCAGUUCCAUUCCAGGACUUGUCUAGUAGAGUUGGAGGCCACUUCCAUCGUCCUUUUUGUGACAGUACAAUACCUACCAAGGACGUGAUGUUCCAUCUUACCACGUGUCCAGAUAAGAGUAAUGUGAUCCAACCCACACUGGUGGAAUCUUCUGGAGACCAUUCCUACACAAAAACAGCUUCAUGCAAGACCCCCACACCUGCCACAGAUUUUGAUCAGACAACUCCUGCUACUACCUCAGACCAACUCAUGAUUCAGGAGGAGGAAGUGACUGUGCCACUGACCAACGUAAAGUCACUUCCCCUUCAUUCUUUACAAGAGAAAGCAUGUCCAACUUCAAGACAUUACAGCAAUAUAGAGGAGGGAUUGAAUCGAGAUGUUUUAGCAUGUUUAAUGAAUAUCUGGACACAGGAUGAGCGCUGUAGUUCCUCCUACUAUAUUGGACCGUUAGGUAAAGGAUUGUCAGUUUUUAUUACAAACCCAUGUUCACCAAGUGAUCUGGUUUCUUCUGGUUCAGGUGCAUAA